Molecule: small RNA, 561 nt
Filed under: Pongo abelii (Sumatran orangutan)
Lineage: Eukaryota; Metazoa; Chordata; Mammalia; Primates; Hominidae
Description: processed transcript
Source: RNAcentral
CUGCCCAAAGCUGGGUCUUCUGGCCCCAAGUCGGGAGCACGCUGCACACCUCAUGCCGUGGGUCAGUCCUUGAAGCUCUCCGUGAAGGUGUACAUUGCACCCCUCGUCGACCGGCAGAGAGCCAGGCCUCAGGGAUGAGAUCCUGGAAAGUGUGAAUACUUCCACCGCAGCCCAUGUCCAGUUACCAACACGGGGUACUGUGCAUGGAGCUGGAGAGAGCCACCAGGUCGCUCCAGUUUGGUGCCAGCGCCUGGAGGGAGAGGCGUGGCGAGGGCUGUGCAGCCUAGGAUCCACUGAGUGGCUCUCGCUGGUGUCUCAACUGCGCACGAACCAGAGCUGGGAGGCUCGGCUGGAGGUGUGACCAGGGCAGGGACCGACCUGGCCCAGAACAGAAGCGCGCAGAGUCCCAUCCUGCCACGCCACGAGAAGAGAAGAAGGAAAGAUACAGUGUUAGCAAAGAGACCUCCCUAGCCCCUGCGCCCCUGCGCCCCCGCGCCCCCGCGUCCCCGCGUCCCCGCGCCUCGCUUCAGCCUCAGGACGGUCCUGCCGGGACGGUGAGCU